Molecule: ribosomal RNA, 497 nt
Filed under: uncultured bacterium
Lineage: Bacteria
Description: partial 16S ribosomal RNA
Rfam family: Bacterial small subunit ribosomal RNA
Source: RNAcentral
GAUGAACGCUGGCGGCGUGCCUAAUACAUGCAAGUCGAGCGAACAGACGAGGAGCUUGCUCCUCUGACGUUAGCGGCGGACGGGUGAGUAACACGUGGAUAACCUACCUAUAAGACUGGGAUAACUUCGGGAAGCCGGAGCUAAUACCGGAUAAUAUAUUGAACCGCAUGGUUCAAUAGUGAAAGACGGUUUUGCUGUCACUUAUAGAUGGAUCCGCGCCGCAUUAGCUAGUUGGUAAGGUAACGGCUUACCAAGGCGACGAUGCGUAGCCGACCUGAGAGGGUGAUCGGCCACACUGGAACUGAGACACGGUCCAGACUCCUACGGGAGGCAGCAGUAGGGAAUCUUCCGCAAUGGGCGAAAGCCUGACGGAGCAACGCCGCGUGAGUGAUGAAGGUCUUCGGAUCGUAAAACUCUGUUAUUAGGGAAGAACAAAUGUGUAAGUAACUAUGCACGUCUUGACGGUACCUAAUCAGAAAACCACGGCUAACUACGUG